UGCUCUCUGCCCCUCUUAAG
RNAcentral lists this microRNA (20 nucleotides) under Mus musculus (house mouse). RNAcentral's name for it is "mmu-miR-7063-3p". Lineage: Eukaryota; Metazoa; Chordata; Mammalia; Rodentia; Muridae. The record is from miRBase by way of RNAcentral.